CCUACGGGAGGCAGCAGUGGGGAAUCUUGCACAAUGGGCGAAAGCCUGAUGCAGCGACGCCGCGUGGGGGAUGAAGCAUUUCGGUGUGUAAACCCCUUUCGAUCCGGACGAAUGCCCGCAAGGGAGUGACGGUACGGAUAUAAGAAGCCCCGGCUAACUACGUGCCAGCAGCCGCGGUAAGACGUAGGGGGCCAGCGUUGUUCGGAAUUACUGGGUGUAAAGGGUUCGUAGGCGGUGUGGCAAGUCGGGAGUGAAAUUUCUGGGCUUAACUCAGAACCUGCUUCCGAAACUGCUGUGCUGGAGUGUGGGAGAGGCGCGUGGAAUUGCAGGUGUAGCGGUGAAAUGCGUAGAUAUCUGCAGGAACACCCGUGGCGAAAGCGGCGCGCUGGACCACUACUGACGCUGAGGAACGAAAGCUAGGGGAGCAAACAGGAUUAGAUACCCUGGUAGUCCACGCUGUAAACGAUGGCAACUAGAUGUGGGGGGUGUCGACUCCCCCUGUGUCGAAGCUGACGCAUUAAGUUGCCCGCCUGGGGAGUACGGCCGCAAGGCUAAAACUCAAAGGAAUUGACGG
This 574-nucleotide ribosomal RNA is filed under the name uncultured bacterium. RNAcentral's name for it is "bacterial SSU rRNA". It matches the Rfam family "Bacterial small subunit ribosomal RNA", at positions 338 to 916 of the family's 1533-position model. The record is from RNAcentral.